This is a long non-coding RNA of Bactrocera oleae (olive fruit fly), 498 nucleotides long. RefSeq lists it as uncharacterized. The record is from RefSeq and is a predicted model, not a curated record. NCBI's taxonomy places the organism in Eukaryota, Metazoa, Arthropoda, Insecta, Diptera, Tephritidae.
AAGGCUCGCUUUCUACUUUUUCUGAAUUCAUAACUUAACUUUAUAUGGCUUGUUAUAAUAAAAAUCAAUUCGGUAUGGUAAACAUUUAUGACAAAAUAAACAAAUUUGUUUCCCUUGGAGACUGCUGACUACUUAGUUUAUAAUAAAUACAUAUAUAUGUUUAUACAUCAAGCAAUUUACAUCCGCACAACUUAUUUCGGAAAUUAAUCUUGUUUGAACUUCAUAAGAAAAAAUUCACCACAUGAGGUGAAAAGCAUUUUGCUGUAAAAUUAAACGAAGCAAAAUAAAGAAAUCGAUUGCCAAGAAGAGCUUACAACAUGUAGUUUUAUUUCACUAUUUUCAUUGCUUCUAUACUAUCUUAGAAAUCUAUCUUAUCUAAAUAAAUGUGUAUGUGUCAUGCGAUAUCGGUUAUUUUUAAAUGUAAAAAUCAAUGCAUGUGCAUGUUUGUUAAGAUGCAAGUUCUUAAACUAGCUAAAUAAAUAUGUUUGUAUUGUUAAA